This 5099-nucleotide long non-coding RNA is filed under the name Sus scrofa (pig). RNAcentral's name for it is "lncRNA (ENSSSCG00050077184.1)". Lineage: Eukaryota; Metazoa; Chordata; Mammalia; Artiodactyla; Suidae. The record is from RNAcentral.
UUUUUUUAUUUUUUGGUCAUUUUUUUAGGGUUGCAUCCAUGGUAUAUGGAGAUUCCCAGGUUAGGGGUCAAAUCUGAUCUGUAGCUGCUGGCCUACGCCACAGCGACAGCAAUGGAAGAGCCAAGUCGCACCUGUGACCUACUUAGCUUAGGCAACGCCAGAUUCUUAACCCACUGAGCAAGGCCAGGCCAGUGGCUACAGCUCCAAUUUGACCCAUAGCCUGGGAACCUCCAUGUGCCAUGGAUGUGGCCCUAAAAAGACAAAGUAAAUAAAUAAAUACAUAAAUAAAUAAAAAUAAAGAGGAGCACAUACAUACCUAUGAACAAAUACAGAAUAUUUAGUGGGACAGCUACAAUUAAAACUGUCCAAAACUGGAAGAAAUAGGUCUCUUUGUGAAGAAACUGAGUUUUUCGUCUCUAAAAAUGUUUUAGAAGAAGCUAGAACUCUGCUUAGCUUUGUAUACAGUAAAAUUAUACUUACUGAUAUACGGGAAAUGUAAAUAUCACCUGAGAAUGUUUGAAGGUUCUCCUUUGAUUAGAUUAUUAUCCUUCUGGCUGGGGUAGGGACUGAGUGUUGUGGAAGUGAGAAUCCAGGGAUACUGCAUGGAGUAGGGAGAAGUUGAACUUGGGCCUUUAGUAAAGGGUAGCUAGGACUUUAAACAGUAGAGGUAAGAAUAAUAGUCCUUCUUUUUAUACAAUGUACUCUGAUUUAUAAUUUUUAUUCCAAUUCUAUAGGAAAGGAAGAUUGCACCUCAGUUUGGAAGAGGGAUAAAGAAGGAACAUUUAUCAUAUACUUAAUGAUGUGCCAAGUACAGAAUCAGGUAGUUCACACAGCUUCCCACAUGCAAGCUUAAAAAUGACCAAUUUAAAGUCCUACUUUAUAGAUAAUAAAACUAGAUCUGGAGAAGAAAUGAGGAAGGGAUCUAUCAUUUAUUGAAUAUUUAUGUAUCUACAAGCAAUAAAAGAACUGCCAUUCCUUUCAGAUCUGCUAGAAUUUCAUGUCUUAUAGGGCUAUUUUACUUCUGUGGCCACUAGGAGCUUUACCUAGGUGUUUCUUGCAAAACUAAUAUUAUUUUUCACAGCAACACACCAAUGCUCCGAAAUUUAGCUUAUGUGGCUAGGAAGUGGUGAAGCUGGAGUUUGAUUUCACAGAGAUCAUGUUCUUCCAUGAAAUCUGGCUAUCCUACUUAGACGAAAGAUGCAAAAUGAGGAGCUAACAGGGUUAGACUUUAUUCUGUAAGCAGUUAUUGUUAGUCAUGGUGGUCUAUGAGCAAGAGAAUGGCAGAAUCAAAGGUCAGCUUUAGAGAUAACUCCCAGAAAGAGAGACUGGGCAUACUGGAGGAAAAAGAUAUUAGAUGCAGAUAUACCAGGUACAAGGCCAUCAGGUAUUACUUCCAGAGAUAAUAGGAACACUCAAAAUAUCCAUAUAGGCUGUGAAUCAUCAGAGAAAUGUGUGGUUUCAUCCAUCCUGGGCAGAGGCAUGGAAAAGACUAGCAAGUCUUGAGCCCAGAAGUAAAUAUUUACUGAGUAGCCACUUCCUAAGUGGCAAAGAACAUGGGAACGUACAAAGGAGAGAAGAAAUAGCAAUGUCUUGAAGAAAGGGAUCCUAUUGGAAAUGAUGAAUAUCAUUUCCAUUCAAUACAGAGUAAUCUUUUUAACUAACCAACUGAAAAUAAAGAAAACAAAUUAACAGGGGUAGGUAUGAGAACUUAAAGAUUUAUUCAUUCAGCCAAAAUUCAUCAGUCAAUUUUCAUGUGCUGAGGACAGUACUUCCAUGAGAGAUGCUAAGAAACAGUCUCUGAUUAAAAUAAAUUUAAGCCUAGAAAAAAAGGAAGUGAAGUGAGUAGAUAACAUGAGUUGUUGUGUUGUAUUUUAAACCUGGUUUGAGGAGGUCCCAAGCUGGAAAGGUCUCUCGGGGCCUGGCAGAAUCAAAAGCAAAUCCCUUCUGGAGGAAGACAAUUUCAUCCUAAGCUUCAAAGAGUCAUUAUGAAUCAUUGUCAAGGGUAAUGAGCAGCAUAAAAUCUAAGAAAAUGUUGCAUACAGGGAAACAAGGUACCAUGAGCAAGAACUAGUUAAAAAAAAAAAAAAAAGCUGAUAGCAGUAACAGCAUACAAAGCAGCAAGAAUGUUUUCCAUGUGUAAGGAAACAAAUGGAAACUUGAUAGAAUCUUCCAGAGAUUAUUUUAAAAGUGACCUAACAGAUUGGUAAAAGAACCAAAGAGAAAAUCAAGUAGUAGCCUCGGUAGUAGCAAUAAUAAUAAUAAAACCAGAAUUAAAACUUCAAUAGAGAGACAAGUCAGAAAAAGGCACUGAUGAGUGGACUGUAGAUCAGGAGAAAUUAUACAGAACAAAGUGCAGAGAUACAAAAAAAGACAUGGACUAGAGAUGAAGAGACAGGAAUGAAGGUCUAAAUUAUGCUUAACUGGAGCUCCCGAAGCAUAUGUGGCAGAGAAGGUGACAGAGGCUAAGAGGUUUCAAGAUGGAAGGAUGCCAAUUCACAAAUUCAAGCAACAUCUUUGGUCUUCAAGACACCAUUGAGACAAAGAGAAAUAAGGUAUCAUCUUGCUUUAUAACUCCAGGAGGCAAAUUGGCUUAGCUUUUCCUUAUAACCUCUGUUUUCUCUGAGAUCUUUAGAUAUCUUCCCCCCUCCUUUUUUUUUUUUCAACACCCUCCCCCCCAUCCCCUGCUCCAGACAGGUGACCUAUGGAAGUUCAAAGGGUGCAGGGUAGAGUUGGAAUCAGAGCUGUAGCUGCUGGCCUACACCGCAGCCGUAGCAAUGUGGAAUCUGAGCCUCAUCUGUGACUUAGACCACAGCUCACGCAAUGCCAGAUCCUUAACUCACUGAUCGAGGCCAGGGAUCGAACCCAUGUCCUCAUGGAUACUAGUUGGGUUCGUUACUGCUCAGCCACGAUGGGCACUCCCUCCCCCUUUUUAUAGUGUUGUGAAUAAGGCUCAGCAGAAUCCCCACACAAGUCUCCAGACCUCUGGCACCACCAGAAGAGAAGUUUUCAAUUUCAAGGAAAUAAAGGAGCUGAAGAGAUUCUCAUCAUGCUCCUAACCAAGGUAUUCUCAGAUCACUGAACUAUUUCCACAUUUCCAGGAAGAACAAGUAACCACAACACAGCCCUGCUUAAAGUUCCUUUCUUCAGGAGCCUUGCUUCUUUCUGUUAUUUAAAGGAAAUAGAGAAACUUGAUCUAGGGUAUAACAAAGACAGCAAAAGAACAUUGUCUUGGAUUUUUCCAAAGGCCCAGCAUUUCUUGCCCAGGGGAAGUAAUAAAAUUGUGUCAGAGCAUAGCUUCUAAAGGAUAGUCCAAGUAAUUUCUGCAAGGUUUGAUCAUCAGCCAUAAGCAUAAUUCUGGUGUCAAGCAAUCACCUCCCCGUCACUAGUCCCCUCAUUUGGAGAGUAAAAGUGCAGCCAUGUCUGCAUGUGGUAAAGCAGUGUCUCUAAUAGGAAAUUAAGAGUGUGUGCAUCUACGAACCCCCGACUCCCAGUCCAUCCCACUCCCUCCCCCUCCCCCUUGGCCACCACAACCACAAGUUAGUUCUCCAAAUCCAUGAGUUUGUUUCUUUUCUGUAGAUAUGGAUAAUGUGAGGAAAAAAAGGUCAUAUAUAUUUUUAUGUAUAUAUAUGUGUGUGUGUGUGUGUGUGUGUAUGACUGGGUCACUUUGCUGUACAGCAGAAAUUGACAGAACAUUGUCAAUCAACUAUAAUAGAAAAAGUAAAAACCUUAAAAAAAAAAGUGUGUGAAAACUUUUCACGCUGUGAAAUUUGUAUAUAUUGCAAUCAAAGUAACGAGAAUGUGGGCUAAUUCAGGGAGGGGAAGGUAUUACCUAAGAUUAGAUCUGACACCAAUGGGUGCCCCAAAUUACAGUGUAUUAAAUAAUAAAGAGGUUUGAUUUCCUUUUAUCAAAAGUUUGGGGUGAAAGAAAAGGGCCGCUAGAGCAACUCUGUUUCCUGAAAAUUUCAAGCCGUCAGGCUUCUACUCCUUCCCUGCCUCACAUGGCUAACCUGCCAUAUAAUGACCCAAGAUGGUUGCCUGAAUUCCAGCCAUCAUGACCAAAUUCCCAUCCAUAGGAAGACUUAAAGGACACACCACCCUUCUUCCUUCAGGGCCGCUUUUCAGAAGUUGACACACUGUAUAUCCUUAUACCUCAACAGCCAGAAUUUAGUCUCACGGACACUUCUAGAAGGAAAAUAAAUUUCCUCUUAACUCUGGGCAAUUCUCUGCCAACCCAGCUAAAAAAUGCUCCUCGGAAGGGAAGACUAUUACUGUGGAAGAAAAAGAACAGCCAUUAAGGGACAAUUCUUAGCUUUUGCCACGGGGAGACAUCCCUAAUCCUACCAGCUAAACACAAUUAGAUUUUAUAACACAUAAACACAAGUAAAUAUACUAAAGCAACCAGAAAAAGCACAACAGCUAGGUUCCAUGAAUGCUGCUAAGAGUUUUCUGGGUACUAACUCAUUUGAACAUCACAACUCUAGGAUACAGACAUUGCAAUCAUCCCCAUUUCACCAAAGACUCUGCAGUAGAAAGUAAAUCAUAUGUCCAAGUUAGAGUACAGGCAAGUGGGAGACACAUGAGCCAAAUCCAGGCAGCCUGGCUCCAGGGUCCUUACUUUUAACCACAAAGCAGUACUGUUUCUCACACUUAAAAAAAUUAAUUGGAUGUGUGUAUGUGUGCAUGUGUAUGUGUGUAUAUUUAAGCCAGUGUUUUUAUGUACUGGGAGAAAACAUCCAAUUAAGAGGCUAUUGCCUGUAACAUAAGAGAGCUUGAUUUUGUAAGCCUGAACUAUUAAACUAUGGCAUUUCAAUAAAUGUCUUUUAAGACACUGUAAUAUGUAUUCAUAAUAGAGGGUUUAACCUGGCAGAACUAACAGCCAGUGUCUGCAUAAUUACACACCUCCAUGUGCUUAUAGACAGUAAUUUCAGGCAAAGAACUGUUGAAACUGAGCAAGAAGCAGCCAGCCCAGGCUCAGGGUGCCUCAUAAUCAGAAGUAAUUAAGAAACCAUGCCCUUUCUGGGCAUCAUGAAUUAAAAACCAUGGUUGAGCAAUUAAAAUUCCAAUCUUCCGCUGCAAAAAAAAAAAAAAAAAAAAAAAAA